AAUCAUAGAAUUUCAAGAAUUUGAAAGAGAAGAGUAAAUUACUUACCUUAAAUCCAGAAUUGAAAAACUACAUCAGACUUAAACAAAUUUAAGUCUAUGAUUCAACAUAAUAGUUUCCUAGUAAUAAGAUCAAAUCAAAUCACAGAGAGCAACCAUACAUCCUUAGGCAGAACUUUUAUUUAAGAAGCAUCAAGUUAGCCCUUGUAAUCCUAAGAUAUGGUGUUUAAGUGAAGGACAGAAACUUAAGUAUAAAAUAAAAAAUCCACGCAUACACAAAGUUAUUACUUAUUUGGUUAAGCCUAAGUAAUAGUAUCUAUUUGACACAAUACUCUAAACAAGUCCACACAUAUAAUAAUCCCACAUACAGAUUAUCAUAGUAUCUAUUUGACACAAUAUUCUAAACAAGUUCACACAUAUAAUAAUCCUACAUACAGAUUAUCUAGUGCAUAAAAAUUCUGAUACAAAAUAGAGUUAAG
This 476-nucleotide long non-coding RNA is filed under the name Nicotiana benthamiana. Its description in RNAcentral is "long non-coding RNA (NBEN_LNC011241)". The record is from RNAcentral. Lineage: Eukaryota; Viridiplantae; Streptophyta; Magnoliopsida; Solanales; Solanaceae.